CUUUUCAGCGCAAACCGGCAUUCGGUUCUUCAGAUUUGUGCUCUUGAAAAUUGGAGUUGUGGCUUCGUCAUAUAUUCACCUUAACGCAUUCCGCACGGUCUCAAAGGACGCGGUAUGUGUGCCAGCGGGCAUGAUGCCCAUAGCACUAGUGGUGGUAGAGGAUGAAGUGCUUCGAGUGACGAGGUAUAAGAGGCGCGAGACGAAACGCCAGAACAACGGCACGGGUAAUGGGAUACCUCCUGCAAGGGUAGAUGAACACACAGGCUCAUACCGAGCGUGUCCAAGUGGACGAGCAGGCCCCAUGGCGAGGUGAAUUUUUACUUGACACAAUUUCUAUCAGGCCAUGGGUGCUUUAGGUAGUAUCUGUACAGAUUCGGACACGCAGACUCCCCCGCAUGUCUGGAGUGUGCAGACUGCGACGAGACCGCGGAACACGCUCGUUUUGGAUGCCCACGUUCCGUGGAGCAAAGGUUGAGUAUGCAGGAGGUAUGCGGUAGAGAUAUCACGCCUGCCAACAAUGUUGAAACACGGACAGAAAAAUGUCUACAUUGAAUCAAAAAUAAAGAUUGUUGUUUUUAUGGAAUGAUAUUUUAUUGAAUUUAUGCUAAAUAUCAUAAAAUCAAUUAUAUAAUUCAAGUUGAAUUCAAAGUGAACUUAUGAUUGUUUUAAAUGUAUCAACAUCCAAACAUAAGUAUUAUUAAAUCAAUAAUAAUCCGUUAGAAUUUACCGUGCAUUCAUGCGUGCACUCCCUCGAGCUCGUCGUGACUAAAAAAAUGCUAGCGACCACUCCCUUGUUAUAUCUCUUGACAAAUACGUAAACAAACAAAAGGUUUCUCGCGUUUCAUGUUAUUUGUUCCGCCGGCUCGUGAAAAAGUGUUUCUUUUCAGUAAAAAAGUUAAUAAAGUGAAGUUAUUUUUGUAAAUUGUCGAAGGUUUAGAAAACGGCUACAACUUGGAAACCCUGAAGAUCGUAGAACGGCAGGAACUAGAAGAAGUGGUACAGAAGCCAUAUCUCGCCGAUCGUACUAAGCUUGUGCAUGGUCUAAACAACUGGAGAAAAUCUUUGGGACUCACACCUGUGUCAUCAAUCUCACCAGCUCAAGAAAGAGAAGAAGUACUGCGACGAGAAACACUAACAGCAACGCUGCUCUUGAACAAAUCUUCAAAAGGAAAGCAGGUUUUGGCCAUCUACAACGAGUGCAAAAUAUUAACGAAGGCGCAGAAGAAAGCAGUCACCCAUAUUAUCGUCGAUGAGUUCAAGGAUAAAUUUGGCACUCUGACAAGCGUGGAGUUAACUCGACUGCCCGCCGAACUGCAUUCUAUUUUUCCGACGGAACCUGAGGUUUGGUUUGGUAACAGGUUGAUUUUUGCGUGAUAUAAUUUGUGUAUCACCCCUUAGGGUCUGUCCAUAAACUACAUACUCUUAGGGGAA
Long non-coding RNA from Aedes albopictus (Asian tiger mosquito), 1431 nucleotides. RefSeq lists it as uncharacterized. The transcript has 3 exons. NCBI's taxonomy places the organism in Eukaryota, Metazoa, Arthropoda, Insecta, Diptera, Culicidae. The record is from RefSeq and is a predicted model, not a curated record.